AUACGUAGGUGACAAGCGUUAUCCGGAUUUACUGGGCGUAAAGGGCGUGUAGGCGGUCUUGCAAGUCAGAAGUGAAAUUCCUGAGCUCAACUCGGGCGCUGCUUCUGAAACUGCUUUACUUGAGUGCUGGAGAGGAUAGUGGAAUUCCUAGUGUAGCGGUAAAAUGCGCAGAUAUUAGGAGGAACACCGGUGGCGAAGGCGGCUAUCUGGACAGUAACGGACGCUGAGGCGCGAAAGCACGGGGAGCAAACAGGAUUAGAUACCCGGGUAGUCCACGCCGUAAACGAUGGGCGCUCGUCGUCGGCGACAGACAGUCGGCGGCCAAGCGAAAGCGAUAAGCGCCCCACCUGGGGAGUACGGUCGCAAGUAUGAAACUCAAAGGAAUUGACGGGG
This 393-nucleotide ribosomal RNA is filed under the name uncultured bacterium. RNAcentral describes it as "partial 16S ribosomal RNA". It matches the Rfam family "Bacterial small subunit ribosomal RNA", at positions 523 to 918 of the family's 1533-position model. The record is from RNAcentral.